GACGAACGCUGGCGGCGUCCCUAAUACAUGCAAGUUGAGCGCUGAAGGUUGGUACUUGUACCAACUGGAUGAGCAGCGAACGGGUGAGUAACGCGUGGGGAAUCUGCCUUUGAGCGGGGGACAACAUUUGGAAACGAAUGCUAAUACCGCAUAAAAACUUUAAACACAAGUUUUAAGUUUGAAAGAUGCAAUUGCAUCACUCAAAGAUGAUCCCGCGUUGUAUUAGCUAGUUGGUGAGGUAAAGGCUCACCAAGGCGAUGAUACAUAGCCGACCUGAGAGGGUGAUCGGCCACAUUGGGACUGAGACACGGCCCAAACUCCUACGGGAGGCAGCAGUAGGGAAUCUUCGGCAAUGGACGAAAGUCUGACCGAGCAAAGCCGCGUGAGUGAAGAAGGUUUUCGGAUCGUAAAACUCUGUUGGUAGAGAAGAACGUUGGUGAGAGUGGAAAGCUCAUCAAGUGACGGUAACUACCCAGAAAGGGACGGCUAACUACGUG
RNAcentral lists this ribosomal RNA (497 nucleotides) under uncultured bacterium. RNAcentral's name for it is "partial 16S ribosomal RNA". It matches the Rfam family "Bacterial small subunit ribosomal RNA", at positions 28 to 507 of the family's 1533-position model. The record is from RNAcentral.